RNAcentral lists this ribosomal RNA (262 nucleotides) under uncultured bacterium. Its description in RNAcentral is "partial 16S ribosomal RNA". It matches the Rfam family "Bacterial small subunit ribosomal RNA", at positions 46 to 334 of the family's 1533-position model. The record is from RNAcentral.
AGGCCUAAUACAUGCAAGUCGAACGGACCCUUCGGGGUUAGUGGCGGACGGGUGAGUAACACGUGGGAACGUGCCCUUUGGUUCGGAACAACUCAGGGAAACUUGAGCUAAUACCGAAUGUGCCCUUCGGGGGAAAGAUUUAUUGCCAUUGGAGCGGCCCGCGUCUGAUUAGCUAGUUGGUGGGGUAAAGGCCUACCAAGGCUACGAUCAGUAGCUGGUCUGAGAGGAUGAUCAGCCACACUGGGACUGAGACACGGCCCAG